This 2377-nucleotide ribosomal RNA is filed under the name Escherichia coli. RNAcentral's name for it is "bacterial LSU rRNA". It matches the Rfam family "Bacterial large subunit ribosomal RNA", at positions 397 to 2757 of the family's 2925-position model. Lineage: Bacteria; Pseudomonadati; Pseudomonadota; Gammaproteobacteria; Enterobacterales; Enterobacteriaceae. The record is from RNAcentral.
CUGUGAGCUCGAUGAGUAGGGCGGGACACGUGGUAUCCUGUCUGAAUAUGGGGGGACCAUCCUCCAAGGCUAAAUACUCCUGACUGACCGAUAGUGAACCAGUACCGUGAGGGAAAGGCGAAAAGAACCCCGGCGAGGGGAGUGAAAAAGAACCUGAAACCGUGUACGUACAAGCAGUGGGAGCCUCUUUUAUGGGGUGACUGCGUACCUUUUGUAUAAUGGGUCAGCGACUUAUAUUCUGUAGCAAGGUUAACCGAAUAGGGGAGCCGAAGGGAAACCGAGUCUUAACUGGGCGUUAAGUUGCAGGGUAUAGACCCGAAACCCGGUGAUCUAGCCAUGGGCAGGUUGAAGGUUGGGUAACACUAACUGGAGGACCGAACCGACUAAUGUUGAAAAAUUAGCGGAUGACUUGUGGCUGGGGGUGAAAGGCCAAUCAAACCGGGAGAUAGCUGGUUCUCCCCGAAAGCUAUUUAGGUAGCGCCUCGUGAAUUCAUCUCCGGGGGUAGAGCACUGUUUCGGCAAGGGGGUCAUCCCGACUUACCAACCCGAUGCAAACUGCGAAUACCGGAGAAUGUUAUCACGGGAGACACACGGCGGGUGCUAACGUCCGUCGUGAAGAGGGAAACAACCCAGACCGCCAGCUAAGGUCCCAAAGUCAUGGUUAAGUGGGAAACGAUGUGGGAAGGCCCAGACAGCCAGGAUGUUGGCUUAGAAGCAGCCAUCAUUUAAAGAAAGCGUAAUAGCUCACUGGUCGAGUCGGCCUGCGCGGAAGAUGUAACGGGGCUAAACCAUGCACCGAAGCUGCGGCAGCGACGCUUAUGCGUUGUUGGGUAGGGGAGCGUUCUGUAAGCCUGUGAAGGUGUGCUGUGAGGCAUGCUGGAGGUAUCAGAAGUGCGAAUGCUGACAUAAGUAACGAUAAAGCGGGUGAAAAGCCCGCUCGCCGGAAGACCAAGGGUUCCUGUCCAACGUUAAUCGGGGCAGGGUGAGUCGACCCCUAAGGCGAGGCCGAAAGGCGUAGUCGAUGGGAAACAGGUUAAUAUUCCUGUACUUGGUGUUACUGCGAAGGGGGGACGGAGAAGGCUAUGUUGGCCGGGCGACGGUUGUCCCGGUUUAAGCGUGUAGGCUGGUUUUCCAGGCAAAUCCGGAAAAUCAAGGCUGAGGCGUGAUGACGAGGCACUACGGUGCUGAAGCAACAAAUGCCCUGCUUCCAGGAAAAGCCUCUAAGCAUCAGGUAACAUCAAAUCGUACCCCAAACCGACACAGGUGGUCAGGUAGAGAAUACCAAGGCGCUUGAGAGAACUCGGGUGAAGGAACUAGGCAAAAUGGUGCCGUAACUUCGGGAGAAGGCACGCUGAUAUGUAGGUGAAGCGACUUGCUCGUGGAGCUGAAAUCAGUCGAAGAUACCAGCUGGCUGCAACUGUUUAUUAAAAACACAGCACUGUGCAAACACGAAAGUGGACGUAUACGGUGUGACGCCUGCCCGGUGCCGGAAGGUUAAUUGAUGGGGUUAGCGGUAACGCGAAGCUCUUGAUCGAAGCCCCGGUAAACGGCGGCCGUAACUAUAACGGUCCUAAGGUAGCGAAAUUCCUUGUCGGGUAAGUUCCGACCUGCACGAAUGGCGUAAUGAUGGCCAGGCUGUCUCCACCCGAGACUCAGUGAAAUUGAACUCGCUGUGAAGAUGCAGUGUACCCGCGGCAAGACGGAAAGACCCCGUGAACCUUUACUAUAGCUUGACACUGAACAUUGAGCCUUGAUGUGUAGGAUAGGUGGGAGGCUUUGAAGUGUGGACGCCAGUCUGCAUGGAGCCGGCCUUGAAAUACCACCCUUUAAUGUUUGAUGUUCUAACGUUGGCCCCUGAUCGGGGUUGCGGACAGUGUCUGGUGGGUAGUUUGACUGGGGCGGUCUCCUCCUAAAGAGUAACGGAGGAGCACGAAGGUUGGCUAAUCCUGGUCGGACAUCAGGAGGUUAGUGCAAUGGCAUAAGCCAGCUUGACUGCGAGCGUGACGGCGCGAGCAGGUGCGAAAGCAGGUCAUAGUGAUCCGGUGGUUCUGAAUGGAAGGGCCAUCGCUCAACGGAUAAAAGGUACUCCGGGGAUAACAGGCUGAUACCGCCCAAGAGUUCAUAUCGACGGCGGUGUUUGGCACCUCGAUGUCGGCUCAUCACAUCCUGGGGCUGAAGUAGGUCCCAAGGGUAUGGCUGUUCGCCAUUUAAAGUGGUACGCGAGCUGGGUUUAGAACGUCGUGAGACAGUUCGGUCCCUAUCUGCCGUGGGCGCUGGAGAACUGAGGGGGGCUGCUCCUAGUACGAGAGGACCGGAGUGGACGCAUCACUGGUGUUCGGGUUGUCAUGCCAAUGGCACUGCCCGGUAGCUAAAUGCG